UUUCGUAGUUCACUUACUCGACUAAGAAUUGGGCUGUAAAGUGUACAUGUGUGUGCUUAGUUGUUUGAUUUGUUGAUUGAUUGAAUUGAACGUAUGAUUGUUUCUUGUGAUAUUGUUAUUGGAUGUGACUACAUAUGUGUGAUUAAGGAUAGUUGUGCAUACACGGAAGACGGUAAUGCCUUCGAAGGGUUAUAGAUGUGGUGGGAGGGCCGCAGGUGACCCUAUAUAUAAGUAUCUAUGACUCCUUGAAAGUAGAAUAAUAUGAAGUGUAUGUACCUUACGAAUGGUUAGUGUGAUGGACAUUUGUGGUAUGUUGAAGGACAAAGAUGGACAUGAUAGGCAUGAUGACUCAUAACGGGUACUCCAAGUACUUGAUGAUAUUAUUCAGGUACUUUACGUACUUGAUGACAUUAUAUGAUGACAUUAUACGGGUACUUUACUUGAUGACAUUAUACGGGUACAAUACGUACUUGAUGACAUUUGGAUGACGUGAGAACAUUUGUGAGAUAUUGAUGGACAAGUUUGAAGUCACAGAACAUGUUUGAUACUUAUUGCCCUUUUUAUUGCUUUUUCUUUUUCAUUAUACAUGUUCUAGCUAUUGUGUGGUUCAUGUAAUGGAUACGUGUGCGACUAUGUUGUGCUAUGAGCCAACCUCAAUUGAAGGCUUCUGCCAUGUAACCAAGCGAACCCAAGAACUUGACGAUUGCAUGCUAGAAGUUGGACUUGGACUAUCAUGGAUCGGUGAUUUAUUACCGGUGAUGUAAUUUGUUUAGGAUGAUUAGCCAUCUUUUGAUCUAUUUUGUAAACUUUUGAUGGUUGUAUGUUCCUUAUACUUUUGUGUAUAAAGUGUUGGGUUCACGGAAUCCUUUUAACUUCA
Molecule: long non-coding RNA, 877 nt
Organism: Erigeron canadensis
Lineage: Eukaryota; Viridiplantae; Streptophyta; Magnoliopsida; Asterales; Asteraceae
Exons: 2
Source: RefSeq, a predicted model, not a curated record